This 67-nucleotide transfer RNA is filed under the name Pseudosporangium ferrugineum. It matches the Rfam family "tRNA". Rfam says of the family: Transfer RNA (tRNA) molecules are approximately 80 nucleotides in length. Their secondary structure includes four short double-helical elements and three loops (D, anti-codon, and T loops). Further hydrogen bonds mediate the characteristic L-shaped molecular structure. tRNAs have two regions of fundamental functional importance: the anti-codon, which is responsible for specific mRNA codon recognition, and the 3' end, to which the tRNAs corresponding amino acid is attached (by aminoacyl-tRNA synthetases). tRNAs cope with the degeneracy of the genetic code in two manners: having more than one tRNA (with a specific anti-codon) for a particular amino acid; and 'wobble' base-pairing, i.e. permitting non-standard base-pairing at the 3rd anti-codon position. Lineage: Bacteria; Bacillati; Actinomycetota; Actinomycetes; Micromonosporales; Micromonosporaceae. The record is from Rfam by way of RNAcentral.
GUGCUCGUGACCACUAGGCAUCUGACUACGGAUCAGAAGGUUAGGGGUUCGAGUCCCUUCGGGCGCA